AUACGGAGGAUGCGAGCGUUAUCCCGAUUUAUUGGGUUUAAAGGGAGCGUAGGUGGGAUAUUAAGUCAGCUGUGAAAGUUUGGGGCUCAACCUUAAAAUUGCAGUUGAUACUGGUUUCCUUGAGUACGGUACAGGUGGGCGGAAUUCGUGGUGUAGCGGUGAAAUGCUUAGAUAUCACGAAGAACUCCGAUCGCGAAGGCAGCUCACCGGGCCGGAACUGACACUGAUGCUCGAAAGUGCGGGUAUCAAACAGGAUUAGAUACCCUGGUAGUCCACGCAGUAAACGAUGAUUACUAGCUGUUUGCGAUAUACAGUAAGUGGCACAGCGAAAGCGUUAAGUAAUCCACCUGGGGAGUACGCCGGCAACGGUGAAACUCAAAUGAAUUGGCGGGG
This 393-nucleotide ribosomal RNA is filed under the name uncultured bacterium. RNAcentral describes it as "partial 16S ribosomal RNA". It matches the Rfam family "Bacterial small subunit ribosomal RNA", at positions 523 to 918 of the family's 1533-position model. The record is from RNAcentral.